UACAGAGGGGGCAAGCGUUAUUCGGAAUUAUUGGGCGUAAAGGGCGCGUAGGCGGCUUUGCAAGUGGCGGGUGAAAUCCCUCGGCUUAACCGAGGAACUGCCUGCCAGACUGUGAGGCUUGAGACCGGGAGAGGAGAGUGGAAUUCCUGGUGUAGCGGUGAAAUGCGCAGAUAUCAGGAAGAACACCAAUGGCGAAAGCAGCUCUCUGGGACGGUACUGACGCUGAGACGCGAAAGCGUGGGGAGCGAACAGG
Molecule: ribosomal RNA, 253 nt
Filed under: uncultured bacterium
Lineage: Bacteria
Description: partial 16S ribosomal RNA
Rfam family: Bacterial small subunit ribosomal RNA
Source: RNAcentral